AACGAACGCUGGCGGCGUGCUUAACACAUGCAAGUCGAACGGAAAGGCCCUGCUUUUUUGGGGUGCUCGAGUGGCGAACGGGUAAGUAACCCGUGAGUAACCUGCCCUUGACUUUGGGAUAACUUCAGGCAACUGGGGCUAAUACCGGCUAGGAGCUCCUGCUGCUUGGUGGGGGUUGGAAAGUUUCGGCGGUUGGGGAUGGACUCGCGGCGUAUCAGCUUGUUGGUUGGGUAGUGGCUUACCAAGGCUUUGACGGGUAGCCGGCCUGAGAGGGUAACCGGCCACAUUGGGAUGGAGAUACGGCCCAGACUCCUACGGGAGGCAGCAGUGGGGAAUAGUGCACAAUGGGCGGAAGCCUGAUGCAGCAACGCCGCGUGCGGGAUGACGGCCUUCGGGUUGUAAAGCGCUUUCGCCUGUGACGAAGCGUGAGUGACGGUAAUGGGUAAAGAAGCACCGGCUAACUACGUG
This 468-nucleotide ribosomal RNA is filed under the name uncultured bacterium. RNAcentral's name for it is "partial 16S ribosomal RNA". It matches the Rfam family "Bacterial small subunit ribosomal RNA", at positions 28 to 507 of the family's 1533-position model. The record is from RNAcentral.